UGAAGGCUGAUGAUGAGAAGAGAAAUUAAAGAAGGAGGAGGAAGAAGAAGAGAAAAGAAAAAAAUAGGAGGUAAAAGAACGAAUUCUCGGUGAUUAUGGUAAACACGUUGUUGACAAUUUCGCUUGGCGUUGGUGUCUUUUCAAUCACAAAAGACCUUUGUUUCCACCAAAAAGGAUGAUAAUGUUGCUCAUCAGAUCAAUUAAAUGUCUUUAUAAUUAGUUAACUCUAAUGGAUAUUAAAUUGAUUCUCUUUUAAACUGUUUGGUCAAUUAACAACACAAUUAAUCCUUGGGAUCGAGACACUAAUCCGAUGGAAGAUAAUCAACAAGGCGCCAAGAAAACAACAAUCAACUGGUAACUAACCCAAAGUCUAAUUGUUUCACUGUUUAGAUUAGUGAUUAGACAAAAACAAUUAUUUUCUCUUGCUCUCCAAUAACAUCAAACAUUCAUAAUAGUCAAUUGUUAAUCUGAUACUUGAUGAUGGAGAUAAUGAUACAAAUGGAGGAUAAUCAAGGAUGAGUGUAUUCAAGAAGGAGGAUGAAAGGAAGACGGUGGUUGCGGUGGAAAUGGAGGUGGGAAGAGGUGGUGGUUCUGAAAAGGAAAGGAACUAGUGAAAGAACCACUCCUUUGGUAUGGAAAAAGAGAAUAGAAAAAGGGAAGAUAAUGUACCUUGUCUCUUUUUUCAUCUUCUUCUCCUCCCGAAUCAAGGUGAUUUCUACAAAAUGAAAGGGAGGAGUUCGUCUUCAUCACCAUCAUCAUCUUCAUCUUCAUCUUCUUCAUCAAAGGAGUUACUGAUAUUUUCCUCAUCAUCCAUCAAACAUUUUCUUCAUCUUUAGUAUCAUUAUCUUCAUCAUCUCAUGAAUAAUUUGGUCACCUUUCAAUAUCCUUGGUGAAUUCAGUUCUCAAUAUGAACAUCAAGUUAACCAACGACAAUUAACAGGAAAUUUCACAAGUUUCACCUGAGAAUAGCGAUUUGAUUAACUCAUUUAAUUAAUUACAGAAUUCAAUUAAUUAAUUAACCAUAUUUGUUGAUAUUAAUAUUUUCUAUCUCACGAGUUAAUUGUUGAAAAAUAAACUAAACUUUGGUAUAAGUACAUCAGCUGAUCGAAUUUUUCUCAACCCAUUUAUCAACGCAAAUGUUACAAUUUAUAUUGAUCAUUAAUUUAGAAUAUAAUUCGCCCUCUCUCACUCUUUCAUCGACCAACAAUCGAUCAAAAUCUUGGUGAUUAUAUUAUGGAUCUUGAUGGAAAUUGAAUGUUCAUGUUUUUUGAUGAGAAAUUAUCGCUUAUAAUAUAAUAACUUGAUCCGCCUCUAAUUUUCAGAUUAUCGGUACUAAAUCAUUAUCUCUAUUGUAGAGUGGAAAAGAUUAACAUCAUCAUCAUCUCUCUCUCUCUCUCUCAUCCUUUUCUCCUCCUCUUCUUUUUUUCUUUCUUCACUUUUUCCACCAAAUAUACUCCACCCUGAUACAAGACACACUCUCUCACUGAAAAGAAUCCACGAUAAUCAAGGAAGAGGAAAAAGAAUUAGGAAAAUGUGGGCGAAAAUGAACUCCCAACGCCCUAUGAUUAACAUGAAAAGAUUGUGAUCUAGUCUAUUAAACACAUUGAGAAUCAAUGAGACUCAUCCCAGAAUUUUGGUGUUAACCUUAAUAUUUGUGUUCCAUUACACAAUUAAUCUAAUUUAAAGUUUCAAUGAAAAGUUUCUCAGUCCGAAUGCGACUCACCUUCAUUUAGAUCAUUUGAUUGAUAAUUAGUGGCAGUUGAUGAAAAAGGUGAUGAACAUCGUGACGAUGGUUUAUCACUUUCCUUGUCCAUCCAUUUGGUACAAUUAACUUUACACUUGUUUCUAAUAACUGAUGAGAAAAAAGAUAUGAUUGGUUAAUUUUAAUCCGUUUGCUUUUCCAGUAUUUAAUUUAUCUAAUCCAUACCAACCAAGUAAUUCAUUCAUUGUUAUUGCCUCGUAAUCCUGUUACCAUCACCACCAGAAAGAAAAACAAAAGAUUAAUUAAAUUACCAAGACCAAAAAGGAUAAACAAUUUCAAAGUUAAUAAUGAUGAUGAUUAGUGUUGAUUCACAAUCAAAGGCAAUCUGAACCCAUCAUGGAGAUAAAGGAGAGAGAGAGAGAGAUAAAAACAAAAUGGACGCCGCAAGAUGAAACCAGAAAAAGUAAAUUGAAACCCGAAUUUGGUUCAAGUUAUCUGAUCACCAUGAAUCUUGAGUAAUACGAAUCAACAAAUUGUUAGCCUGAUGAACAAGGAACCUUAAUAACAUCAUAAGUUUCGUUGAAAAUUUCAUAUAAAUUGGAAACUCACCAAGAAAAACAACAAUCGAUUCCUCAAUCAGACUAAUGAAUUAACCAUUGGCAACUAAUCAUGAUUAACUUUCUAAUUAGUUAAAUGAUUAUAACUAUGAUAAUAUUAUCAUCUAUUACCAUAUAUGUUUAUUUAAGACAAUCAAAUUAAGAUCAUCAUCUAAUCAUCCAUCCAUCGAUAAUUAAGGAGAAAAGUAGAUGUUUAAUCAUUAAUUGUUGGAAUAGAAUAACAAUUAUUCAAUAAUUUAAUUGAAUUAAUUACUAUUAAUCCAUUGUGGUUAAAAGUAUCGGAUUGUGAAAUGGGAAUCAAAUUUACUCAUUGAAAUUAAAUUGAUCAUGUUGCCACAAUAUUAGAUUAAUCAGUUAACCCUUUUCACAACAAUAACAAUUACAAUUAAUUCCUUGAUUGUUAUUAAUAUGAAUUUAGUUACUUUUGAUUAUGAAAGUUUUAAUCAUAGAUAAUUAACAACAAAAAAAGCAAGAUAUCAAAUACAAUUUAAUUUAAUAAUGAUUGAAAUUUGAUUCUAUCAAUGUAACUGUUAUCGGAACUUUUUUCUG
Long non-coding RNA from Panonychus citri (citrus red mite), 2868 nucleotides. RefSeq lists it as uncharacterized. The transcript has 4 exons. The record is from RefSeq and is a predicted model, not a curated record. Lineage: Eukaryota; Metazoa; Arthropoda; Arachnida; Trombidiformes; Tetranychidae.